UUUGUAGCGCAAAAACGACCCGAAGU
RNAcentral lists this non-coding RNA (26 nucleotides) under Rattus norvegicus (Norway rat). The record is from RNAcentral. Lineage: Eukaryota; Metazoa; Chordata; Mammalia; Rodentia; Muridae.